AGUGAACGCUGGCGGUAGGCCUAACACAUGCAAGUCGAACGGCAGCACAGUAAGAGCUUGCUCUUACGGGUGGCGAGUGGCGGACGGGUGAGGAAUACAUCGGAAUCUACUUUUUCGUGGGGGAUAACGUAGGGAAACUUACGCUAAUACCGCAUACGACCUACGGGUGAAAGCAGGGGAUCCUCGGACCUUGCGCGAUUGAAUGAGCCGAUGUCGGAUUAGCUAGUUGGCGGGGUAAAGGCCCACCAAGGCGACGAUCCGUAGCUGGUCUGAGAGGAUGAUCAGCCACACUGGAACUGAGACACGGUCCAGACUCCUACGGGAGGCAGCAGUGGGGAAUAUUGGACAAUGGGUGCAAGCCUGAUCCAGCCAUACCGCGUGGGUGAAGAAGGCCUUCGGGUUGUAAAGCCCUUUUGUUGGGAAAGAAAAGCAGCAGGUUAAUACCCCGCUGUUCUGACGGUACCCAAAGAAUAAGCACCGGCUAACUUCGUG
This 492-nucleotide ribosomal RNA is filed under the name uncultured bacterium. Its description in RNAcentral is "partial 16S ribosomal RNA". It matches the Rfam family "Bacterial small subunit ribosomal RNA", at positions 29 to 507 of the family's 1533-position model. The record is from RNAcentral.